This is a non-coding RNA of Peromyscus maniculatus bairdii (prairie deer mouse), 839 nucleotides long. The record is from RefSeq and is a predicted model, not a curated record. NCBI's taxonomy places the organism in Eukaryota, Metazoa, Chordata, Mammalia, Rodentia, Cricetidae.
GCUCUCCGGAAGUCCGCGGGAUGUCAGGAUUCACUCUGAGAGGGCUCCGUUGACCUGAAGCUGCUUUCGCCAUAGUCUUGGAGGUAGCGGGAGGAUUCUCAUCCGGGAAGUUCUUACAAAGAAACUACUGUGUCGUCGUGGGAAACUAGGUCAGGAAAGCUACUGGAGCCUUGUAGGGGAGUGGCUUGAGUUGAGAAAGCUCCCUUCUGAACGCCCAAAAGAAAUCCAACCCCUGUUAUUACCGUCUUUUACAGUUUAACGAGCUUUCCCCUGGAGACGUCUUAUUUUACCUUCGAGACUGCUCCCUCAAUCCAGCAUCCAAGGAACUCAGAGCAGGAGCUCAAAACAGGACCCUGGAGGCAGGAGCUGAAGCAGAAGCCAUGAAGAAAUGUUGCUUACUGGCUUGUUCUCACAGCUUGCUCAGCCAACUUUCUUAUACACCCCAGGAACACCAGCCCAGGAGUGUCAUGACCUACAGGCUGUCUUAAAGGUAUGACAUCAUUAGAGACUAUAACUCCAAGUCUGGAAUGGAGCAUCUCUGGCUACUUGACUGUUCCUUUGAGUCACCAUGAACCCUUUUGGAAUUGUACCAGAACAACCAAAGAAGCAGCAGACAUUCCAGUCUUCUCGCCUAGAAUUCGAAUGUAGCAGAAACAUCUGCCUUCUUCCUUUACUACUAUGCCCUAUAUCUAAGUGAGCAUUAAUCCAUAUAGAAUUAUAUAUAUGUAGUAUAUCCCAUAAUGGAGACUAUAUCAAACUUGCAUCUUUUGCUGCCAGGUUUCUAACUGUACAAAUAAGUUUUGAUCAGUAAAAUAAAUAAAGAAGGUUUCCUGAUUGUU